GACGAACGCUGGCGGCGUGCCUAACACAUGCAAGUGGAGCGACGAACCGGGCUUCGGCCCGGGGCAAAGCCGCGAACGGGUAAGUAACACGUGGGUAACCUGCCCUGAUGAUUGGGACAACCCGAGGAAACUCGGGCUAAUACCGAAUGUGCCCUCCGGCCAUAAGGCCGCUGGGGAAAGGAAGCUUCGGCCCCCGCAUC
RNAcentral lists this ribosomal RNA (200 nucleotides) under uncultured bacterium. RNAcentral's name for it is "partial 16S ribosomal RNA". It matches the Rfam family "Bacterial small subunit ribosomal RNA", at positions 28 to 221 of the family's 1533-position model. The record is from RNAcentral.